Molecule: ribosomal RNA, 268 nt
Filed under: Morganella morganii
Lineage: Bacteria; Pseudomonadati; Pseudomonadota; Gammaproteobacteria; Enterobacterales; Morganellaceae
Also listed under: 1 other name
Description: partial 16S ribosomal RNA
Rfam family: Bacterial small subunit ribosomal RNA
Source: RNAcentral
UAAUUGAAGAGUUUGAUCAUGGCUCAGAUUGAACGCUGGCGGCAGGCCUAACACAUGCAAGUCGGGCGGUAACAGGGGGAAGCUUGCUUCUCUGCUGACGAGCGGCGGACGGGUGAGUAAUGUAUGGGGAUCUGCCUGAUGGAGGGGGAUAACUACUGGAAACGGUAGCUAAUACCGCAUAAUGUCUUCGGACCAAAGCGGGGGACCUCCGGGCCUCGCGCCAUCAGAUGAACCCAUAUGGGAUUAGCUUGUAGGUGAGGUAACGGCU